UCAAUCAAAAGCAAAAUAUCAUUAAAUGUUUUCAUUUAUUAAGAGACCACAUAAAAUUCCAACCAUUAUUAUAUUCCAAUUCUACUUAUAAACUCCAAUCGUUACUUCAAUUGAAAGUUUUGGCUUCUAUGGGUCCAACCACUAGGUUACAUAUCUCGAAAAAAGCAAGGGGCUAUAAUUGGUCGGAUAUGCUACUAUAUUUCAGUUAAUGUAAAAUUCCUUGUAACCCUACCCAUGC
Molecule: long non-coding RNA, 238 nt
Filed under: Setaria viridis
Lineage: Eukaryota; Viridiplantae; Streptophyta; Magnoliopsida; Poales; Poaceae
Description: long non-coding RNA (SVIR_LNC000858)
Source: RNAcentral